AUAGAGACUCAGAGCUGCAUAUCAAUAAGCGGAGGAAAAGAAACUAACAAGGAUUCCCUUAGUAACGGCGAGUGAAGCGGGAAGAGCUCAAAUUUGAAAUCUUCAAGGUUUUACCUUGACGAAUUGUAGUUUAAAGAGGUGUUUUCUGUUGAAGUUUUGGUAAAAGUUCUUUGGAAUAGGACAUCAUAGAGGGUGAGAAUCCCGUAUUUGACCAUUACUUUCCAGCUGUGUGAUACACUUUCAAAGAGUCGGAUUGUUUGGGAAUGCAGUCCAAAAUGGGUGGUAAAUUUCAUCUAAAGCUAAAUAUUGGCGAGAGACCGAUAGCGAACAAGUACCGUGAGGGAAAGAUGAAAAGAACUUUGAAAAGAGAGUUAAACAGUACGUGAAAUUGUCAAAAGGGAAGCGUUUGACACCAGUGUUGUUUUUCCGAAAAUCAAUUACGAAUGUUUUAGUUUUUGAGGAGUUAUGACUUCAUCGGCUUGCUCCUUUCUUUAUGAAACUUUCUUAAUGCACUUUUCGGUUAACAAGUCAACAUCAAUUUCUUUUGUUGUAAAAGGAGUAUGAGGAAGGUGGCUUUCUUUUCGGAGAAAGUGUUUAUAGCCCUGUGACUUCUGCAAUCGGAGAGAUUGAGGUCUGCAGCGUAGAUCCUUCGGGGUUAGAUACAUUUGUGCUAAGUUAUAGCUUUUUCAUAGACAACAUUGUUGACUAUGAUUUAAUCAUUGUAGCUUACUCGCUUAUGCUAUUUUACCUACGCUUAGGAUGUUGAUAGUCACAGCGUGUAC
Molecule: ribosomal RNA, 782 nt
Filed under: uncultured Neocallimastigales
Lineage: Eukaryota; Fungi; Neocallimastigomycota; Neocallimastigomycetes; Neocallimastigales
Description: partial large subunit ribosomal RNA
Rfam family: Eukaryotic large subunit ribosomal RNA
Source: RNAcentral